GUGCUUGCUUCAGCAGCAGCACAUAUACUAAAAUUGGAACAAGACAGAGAAGAUUAGCAUGGCCCAUGCACAAGGAUGACAAGCAAAUUUUGAAGCAUUCUAUAUAAAA
Ailuropoda melanoleuca (giant panda) is the source of this 109-nucleotide small nuclear RNA. NCBI's taxonomy places the organism in Eukaryota, Metazoa, Chordata, Mammalia, Carnivora, Ursidae. The record is from Ensembl.